CAAACCCCAAAAAUUAAUGUAAUUAAAAAAAUAACCCGACAUCUUACGGGUCAAAUUAAUAAUUACAAUAAGUCUAGGGAUAACUCUUGCGGAUAAUGCCUACAAAAUCCAUAAAAUAAAGAUUAACUCAAAACUUAAAAGAAAUAAAUAAAAUAAAUAGAAAAAGAAAAAUAAAACUACCUAAUUUCUUUUCCUUUUUCUUUCUUUUGUUUUUUUUCUAAAACCUUGCUCGUGGAUCUUCAGGGGCAGCAAGUCGUCGGUCCGGCAAGGGGAACUCCGGCGAGGUAAAUUCCGGCGGCAGCAAACGGCAG
RNAcentral lists this long non-coding RNA (311 nucleotides) under Eucalyptus grandis. Its description in RNAcentral is "long non-coding RNA (EGRA_LNC007205)". The record is from RNAcentral. Lineage: Eukaryota; Viridiplantae; Streptophyta; Magnoliopsida; Myrtales; Myrtaceae.